CGAGUCCGAGGAGCUAAGGCUCCAAAGUGAUGCGAGUCAGACUUCCCAGAAAAGCCCGAACCACGUUAAUUUCUAAUUACCUGUACCCGAAACCGACACAGGUGGGUAGGUAGAGUAUACUAAGGGGCGCGAGAUAACUCUCUCUAAGGAACUCGGCAAAAUGACUCCGUAACUUCGGGAGAAGGAGUGCCUUAUUUAUAAGGUUGCAAUAACAAGAUCCAAGCAACUGUUUAUCAAAAACACAGGUCUCCGCUAAGUCGUAAGACGAUGUAUGGGGGCUGACGCCUGCCCAGUGCCAGAAGGUUAAAGAAGUUGGUUAGUGUAUGCGAAGCUGAUGACUGAAGCCCUGGUGAACGGCGGCCGUAACUAUAACGGUCCUAAGGUAGCGAAAUUCCUUGUCGGGUAAGUUCCGACCCGCACGAAAGGCGUAAUGAUUUGGAUACUGUCUCGGAGAGAGGCUCGGUGAAAUAGACUUGUCUGUGAAGAUGCGGACUACCUGCACCAGGACAGAAAGACCCUAUGAAGCUUUACUGUAACUUGAAAUUGGAAUUGGACUUUGCUUGCGCAGUAUAGGUGGGAAGCGUUGAAGAUAUUCUUGCGGGAGUAUUGGAGCUAUCAGUGAGAUACCACUCUUGUAAUGUUAGAUUUCUAACUUUGAACCAUAAUCUGGUCAAAGAACAGUUUCAGGUGGGCAGUUUGACUGGGGCGGUCGCCUCCCAAAUGGUAACGGAGGCGUACAAAGGUUUCCUCUGAACGGAUAGAAAUCGUAUCUAGAGUGUAAAGGCAUAAGGAAGCUUGACUGUGAGACCUACAAGUCGAGCAGGGACGAAAGUCGGUCUUAGUGAUCUGACGGUACUGAGUGGAAAGGCCGUCACUCAACGGAUAAAAGUUACUCUAAGGAUAACAGGCUGAUCUCCCCCAAGAGUUCACAUCGACGGGGAGGUUUGGCACCUCGAUGUCGGCUCAUCGCAUCCUGGGGCGGUAGUACGUCCCAAGGGUUGGGCUGUUCGCCCAUGAAAGCGGUACGCGAGCUGGGUUCAGAACGUCGUGAGACAGUUCGGUCCAUAUCCGGUGUAGGCGUUAGAAUAUUGAGAGGAGCCUUCUUUAGUACGAGAGGACCGAGAAGGACACACCGCUGGUGUACCAGUUAUCGUGCCAACGGUAAACGCUGGGUAGCUAUGUGUGGAGUGGAUAACCGCUGAAAGCAUCUAAGUGGGAAGCCCACCUCAAGAUGAGUAUUCUCAC
Molecule: ribosomal RNA, 1245 nt
Filed under: metagenome
Description: bacterial LSU rRNA
Rfam family: Bacterial large subunit ribosomal RNA
Source: RNAcentral